Felis catus (domestic cat) is the source of this 470-nucleotide long non-coding RNA. RefSeq lists it as uncharacterized. The transcript has 3 exons. The record is from RefSeq and is a predicted model, not a curated record. Lineage: Eukaryota; Metazoa; Chordata; Mammalia; Carnivora; Felidae.
CCUUCCACCCCACCCGCCACCCACACUCCGCUCCGCAGCCGGGCCCCGAGCGAGCUCCGCGCGCCCGGGCGGGAGCCGAGGGCUCCCCGGGUUCAAAGGGCCGCAGCCCCGAGGGAAUGCCCUCCUCGCUGUGCCCCGAGGGGCAGAAGCGGACCGCAGGGCGGUGGGACCGGCCCGGGCCACGAUGGUGUUCAGUGACAAGACCCAAACUAUUUGCAAAACUCCAGGACAUGCGUCUUUCUGCGGACAAAAACAGACAUUAUCAAAAGCCUGGAAGGAAUCUUUGACUUUCUCCCAUUUGAACAAACAACAGCUUCAAAGUGGUCGACAGUGUACUAAGCAGAGAUACGAGAAUAUCCCCAGAAAGGAAAAUACACCACGACCAAGUUGUUUCCUGUAUGUGAAUGCUGAGAUUUAAGGAAAUAUCGUGGCUCCCCUUUAACUCACAAAUAAAUUCUUUUUUUUUUUUU